GAGGCACCGUGACCUCAUAUUCUAAACUGGAAAGCAUUCAGACACUGCUGCCGGGGGAGGUAGAAUCUGCCUUCCCAUAGCUAUCCCGCCAACAUCACCACCCCCACGAGUGGGAAGGGAUGGAAUAAAGGCCUACUAUCUUUGGCCCAGCAGGAGGUGAGAGGGUUCUUGAGGAAGACUUCAAGAAAAUCGUUGCAGAGUUUGGAGGUGCUCCUUCCGAAGGAGAAUUCCCAUCUCACUCCCUGGCUUCGUAUCUUCUUAGCAGACUUUUUGACCUGCCUUUUACCUACCCACAUAGUGACCUAGGAGAACUGGAGGAAAACCCGGGUGGAGGAGAGAGGGACCCCAUGGCCCAGCUGCAGCACCACCACGUAGCCCUGCAAAGGAUUCCAGGACACGUUAUGGAAAAUAACCAAGCUUGAGCUCUUUGCCGUUGCCCCCGAGGGCAAGCUGUAAAGCAGAAAUCCAACAGCGAGAAGCUUGGGUCUCCUGAAGGAGUGGCCUCUGGACAAGUCGGGAACCGGAAGCAUCAGAGAAGAGAAGAUCCAGAGCAGAGACAUGUGCAGGCAGAGGCUUCUGCCGUGUCCCUGGAAGACUCACAUGGACAGUCUGGAAGAAAGCCAACAUCGGGACCCCUGACACACAGCCCAAAGUCAGAAAGGUGCUGGGACUUCUCACCUGGCCGGUGACAGGCCAGGCCCAGCGGUGGCGGGCGCACCUCCCCCAGGGGGUUGGCGGACGAGGAGCAGGGGGGGCUGACACGGAGGAGGAGCAAACGCAGGAGAAUCCGAAAUACUUUUUAAAUCGUACAUUGAGAUUUUAUGAGAAAAUGGACAUUCAUCAAGGAACUCUAAUAGCCAACAUUCUAAAUUUCAAAAGCUAAGACCGGUAUCCUGUGACUUUGAA
Herpailurus yagouaroundi (jaguarundi) is the source of this 906-nucleotide long non-coding RNA. RefSeq lists it as uncharacterized. The record is from RefSeq and is a predicted model, not a curated record. Lineage: Eukaryota; Metazoa; Chordata; Mammalia; Carnivora; Felidae. The transcript is spliced from 3 exons.